Molecule: long non-coding RNA, 351 nt
Organism: Anastrepha ludens (Mexican fruit fly)
Lineage: Eukaryota; Metazoa; Arthropoda; Insecta; Diptera; Tephritidae
Exons: 2
Source: RefSeq, a predicted model, not a curated record
AACUGCGCCAAAUUAAUGAAAAGCUCUUAUGAUUGAUGAUGAUAAAAAAGUUGUCGUACGUUGUAGGUCAGGGUCCAACAAGGUGAGUUGCGCAGGUCCUUAGGAUUUUUUUAUUUUUCAGGGUUUUCUGCAUCUUUCAGAUUUUUCUCUAUCUUUCAGGUUUUCCUUUUAUCUUCUUUUUCAGGUAGCACCUGAGCCUAGAUUUUUAAACCACUACAAUUUUCACUUAAUCACGAUGGAUUGAGAGUAGUGUUUUAAAAAUCAGGUAAAUCGCAUUGACUUAAUCGAUGUCAAUAUCGAAGUCGUGUGAGAAAUUGUUAUAGUAUGAGAACAAUUUCGUAAUUCGUGCUU